RNAcentral lists this ribosomal RNA (1370 nucleotides) under metagenome. Its description in RNAcentral is "bacterial SSU rRNA". It matches the Rfam family "Bacterial small subunit ribosomal RNA", at positions 165 to 1520 of the family's 1533-position model. The record is from RNAcentral.
AAUACCGGAUGGUUGUUUGAACCGCAUGGUUCAAACAUAAAAGGUGGCUUCGGCUACCACUUACAGAUGGACCCGCGGCGCAUUAGCUAGUUGGUGAGGUAACGGCUCACCAAGGCGACGAUGCGUAGCCGACCUGAGAGGGUGAUCGGCCACACUGGGACUGAGACACGGCCCAGACUCCUACGGGAGGCAGCAGUAGGGAAUCUUCCGCAAUGGACGAAAGUCUGACGGAGCAACGCCGCGUGAGUGAUGAAGGUUUUCGGAUCGUAAAGCUCUGUUGUUAGGGAAGAACAAGUGCCGUUCGAAUAGGGCGGUACCUUGACGGUACCUAACCAGAAAGCCACGGCUAACUACGUGCCAGCAGCCGCGGUAAUACGUAGGUGGCAAGCGUUGUCCGGAAUUAUUGGGCGUAAAGGGCUCGCAGGCGGUUUCUUAAGUCUGAUGUGAAAGCCCCCGGCUCAACCGGGGAGGGUCAUUGGAAACUGGGGAACUUGAGUGCAGAAGAGGAGAGUGGAAUUCCACGUGUAGCGGUGAAAUGCGUAGAGAUGUGGAGGAACACCAGUGGCGAAGGCGACUCUCUGGUCUGCAACUGACGCUGAGGAGCGAAAGCGUGGGGAGCGAACAGGAUUAGAUACCCUGGUAGUCCACGCCGUAAACGAUGAGUGCUAAGUGUUAGGGGGUUUCCGCCCCUUAGUGCUGCAGCUAACGCAUUAAGCACUCCGCCUGGGGAGUACGGUCGCAAGACUGAAACUCAAAGGAAUUGACGGGGGCCCGCACAAGCGGUGGGGCAUGUGGUUUAAUUCGAAGCAACGCGAAGAACCUUACCAGGUCUUGACAUCCUCUGACAAUCCUAGAGAUAGGACGUCCCCUUCGGGGGCAGAGUGACAGGUGGUGCAUGGUUGUCGUCAGCUCGUGUCGUGAGAUGUUGGGUUAAGUCCCGCAACGAGCGCAACCCUUGAUCUUAGUUGCCAGCAUUCAGUUGGGCACUCUAAGGUGACUGCCGGUGACAAACCGGAGGAAGGUGGGGAUGACGUCAAAUCAUCAUGCCCCUUAUGACCUGGGCUACACACGUGCUACAAUGGACAGAACAAAGGGCAGCGAAACCGCGAGGUUAAGCCAAUCCCACAAAUCUGUUCUCAGUUCGGAUCGCAGUCUGCAACUCGACUGCGUGAAGCUGGAAUCGCUAGUAAUCGCGGAUCAGCAUGCCGCGGUGAAUACGUUCCCGGGCCUUGUACACACCGCCCGUCACACCACGAGAGUUUGUAACACCCGAAGUCGGUGAGGUAACCUUUUAGGAGCCAGCCGCCGAAGGUGGGACAGAUGAUUGGGGUGAAGUCGUAACAAGGUAGCCGUAUCGGAAGGUGCGGCUG